Molecule: ribosomal RNA, 404 nt
Filed under: uncultured bacterium
Lineage: Bacteria
Description: partial 16S ribosomal RNA
Rfam family: Bacterial small subunit ribosomal RNA
Source: RNAcentral
GACGAACGCUGGCGGCGUGCCUAAUACAUGCAAGUCGAACGCAGUGGGGACGGGUGAGUAACACGUGGGUACCCUCCCCAUCAGAGGGGACAACACUUGGAAACUGGUGCUAAACCGAUAUUGAUGGAUGGACCCGUGGUGCAUUAGCUAGUUGGUGGGGUACCGGCUCACCAAGGCCACGAUGCAUAGCUGACCGGAGAGGUUGAUCGGCCACACUGGGACUGAGACACGGCCCAGACUCCUACGGGAGGCAGCAGUAGGGAAUCUUCGGCAAUGGACGAAAGUCUGACCGAGCAAUGCCGCGUGAGUGAAGAAGGUUUUCGGAUCGUAAAGCUCUGUUGUUAGAGAAGCGGUAUCUAACCAGAAAGCCACGGCUAACUACGUGCCAGCCGCCGCGGUAAUUC